AGUGAACGCUGGCGGUAGGCCUAAUACAUGCAAGUCGAGCGGCCGCACAGUAAGAGUUUGCUCUUACGGGUGGCGAGUGGCGGACGGGUGAGGAGUACAUAGGAUUCUACUUUUUCGUGGGGGAUAUCGUAAGACAACUUCUGCUAAUACCGAAUACAUCCUACGGCUGAAAGCAGGGGAUCUUCGGAGCUUUCGCGAUUGAAUGAGCUGGGGCCGGAUUAGCUAGUUGGCGGGGUAAAGGCCCACCAAGGCAACGAUCCGUAGCUGGUCUGAGAGGAUGAUCAGCCACACUGGAACUGAGACACGGUCCAGACUCCUACGGGAGGCAGCAGUAGGGAAUAUUGGACAAUGGGCGCAAGCCUGAUCCAGCCAUACCGCGUGAGUGAUGAAGGCCUUCGGGUUGUAAAGCCCUGUUGUUGGGAAAGAAAAGCAGCGGAUUAAUACCCCGCUGUUCUGACGGUACCCAAAGAAUAAGCACCGGCUAACUUCGUG
Molecule: ribosomal RNA, 492 nt
Filed under: uncultured bacterium
Lineage: Bacteria
Description: partial 16S ribosomal RNA
Rfam family: Bacterial small subunit ribosomal RNA
Source: RNAcentral